Rhodnius prolixus is the source of this 45-nucleotide non-coding RNA. NCBI's taxonomy places the organism in Eukaryota, Metazoa, Arthropoda, Insecta, Hemiptera, Reduviidae. The record is from Rfam.
UUCAAGGCUUUUCUAGAAGCCAACCUCUUUGUAAUAAAAGCAGCU